Molecule: transfer RNA, 75 nt
Filed under: Paenibacillus thiaminolyticus
Lineage: Bacteria; Bacillati; Bacillota; Bacilli; Caryophanales; Paenibacillaceae
Description: tRNA-Thr
Rfam family: tRNA
About the family: Transfer RNA (tRNA) molecules are approximately 80 nucleotides in length. Their secondary structure includes four short double-helical elements and three loops (D, anti-codon, and T loops). Further hydrogen bonds mediate the characteristic L-shaped molecular structure. tRNAs have two regions of fundamental functional importance: the anti-codon, which is responsible for specific mRNA codon recognition, and the 3' end, to which the tRNAs corresponding amino acid is attached (by aminoacyl-tRNA synthetases). tRNAs cope with the degeneracy of the genetic code in two manners: having more than one tRNA (with a specific anti-codon) for a particular amino acid; and 'wobble' base-pairing, i.e. permitting non-standard base-pairing at the 3rd anti-codon position.
Source: RNAcentral
GCCGGUUAGCUCUGUUGGCAGGGCGGCUGACUUGUAAUCAGUAGGUCGUGGGUUCGCCUCCUAUCGUCGGCACCA